CAAUAGCGUAUAUUAACGUUGUUGCAGUUAAAAAGCUCGUAGUUGGAUUUCUGGAGGGAGCGUCGGCCCGUAUUUACGAGUGCGUGACGUCUCUGUCCAUCCUUGCGGGUAGGCACGGCAUUGAUUUGUUGUGUCGGAUCGCAUCAUUUACUGUGAAAAAAUUAGAGUGUUCAAAGCAGGCUUUCGCUUGAAUACAUUAGCAUGGAAUAAUAAGAUAGGACUUUGGUGCUAUUUUGUUGGUUGAGCCUAAAGUAAUGAUUAAUAGGGAUAGUUGGGGGCACCUGUAUUGCGUUGUCAGAGGUGAAAUUCUUGGAUUUACGCAAGACAAACAGCUGCGAAAGCGUCUGCCAAGGAUGUUUUCAUUAA
This 366-nucleotide ribosomal RNA is filed under the name uncultured eukaryote. RNAcentral describes it as "partial 18S ribosomal RNA". It matches the Rfam family "Eukaryotic small subunit ribosomal RNA", at positions 592 to 976 of the family's 1831-position model. The record is from RNAcentral.